UUCUGGCCCCGCUUUCACUAACGUUCUCAAAGUGAGAAAAUUCUCAGCUCAAGAUUUUCUCAGAAUAGUCUGAGAAUUGUCUCAGCUGAGAAAUUUCUCAAGUUGGCUUUCGCUAAACUUUUUCUCAAGUCUUGAGAUUUUUCUCAGCUGAGCCGUAAUUUUUUAAGACAUAAGCGGCCAAACAUCCAAGGAGCCGCGUGAACUUUCCCACGAACACGAGUGCAUAGUUGGGGGCAGUGGAUUUAUUCAUUUAUUGAGACGAAAUGAAGCGUUGAGAAAUGUUCAUAAACAACAUGUACAGUUUCGGGAUAUAUCCAAAUUGUAUGUUUGUACAAAGGUCACAGCCUGCUGAUGAAGAUCCUCAGCUUAUACAGAGGUCAGGCUUGAGCUAUGUGCUGAUUCAAAAGAUGCUAAUGACAGUGGAUAAUCCAUUCUGAAUUGUUCUAGGACCAUUCACCAACGUUUAAAAACACUGAUGGAACUGAUGGCAGUAGGUGUACUGGUGUCUGGCCUGUGAUUUCAAGUAUAAUUGAUGUACCUCCUCCUGAUGUAUCUUCUUGAAUACAAUAUAUCUGCCAUAUGGAAGGAACAAGCUGCAAGAUAUACUGUGGAAGUGGGGGCCUAUGUAAAAAACAUUUUAUUUAAAGAAUAUAAGAAAUCUGACACUAAACUACUGAAAAGGUGCACAGGGGACAUUUUUGUGUGUAUAGACUUUCAUCAAGAUUCUGAGAAAGUUGAUUUAUUAAACAAAAAUAAGUCAUAUUGUGUCUUCAAAGCUGAAAAGAUUAAGAUCUUAGGAAAACAUUUGGACUCAAGAAAAGUAAUGGGGUUAUGAAACUAGUGUUCAACAUUUAAAUUGUUUUUGUUUUUUUUCACUACAUUUUGUGAAGAGGGUUCCAUCACAAGAUGUGACAUAUUGGUAAGAAUGAGAUGAAGUUUAUAAAAAAAAGUAUUUUGCUUUAAAUGUGCAGACUUUAAGUUACAUAAAAAUCAAAGCUGUAACAAUAAAGCUUGAUUAAAAAAACACACUGUUGAAAACUAGCCUUCAUGUAAAUGUCACACUUUUUUGGGUGCCCAGGGGACACAAUUAGCUAUAUAAUUUAAUAUAACUUUAACCCUUAGGCCCUUGCUAAAUUUCUAUAAUGAACUUGUCCGUUUUACAAUUUGAACAGUAUUAUUAAGUGUUAAAGGGGUGCUAACCAAAAAGAUACUGACUGAAUGGCGAACAGUGCAGAUCAAGAUCAGACUGCACAGAUGUGCAGGCUGAUCCUGAUCUACACUUGUUACAAAGGUAGGACCAACCAUGUACAGCAUGAUAAGGGUUAAAACUGCUUGAGCCAUUCAGCUGAAAAUUGCAAACAUUUGUUGACUACAUUGAUUGGAAUAUGUAAUUUGCCCCAAAACACUUUAUAAAACUAAACCAAAUUAAAAUAAGGUGAGUGAGAAGAAAAAGCUUAAUUAUUUAAAAAAAAAACAAUAUAGUCGAUAGAUAUACAUUGUUGAAUACAUUAUCUUUGUUCACAUUAAAUUUAAAUGUGGCUGCCACAUUGUUUGUUAGGAACAUAAGACACAUUAAUUUCUUGUUUUCGAAUUUUAAUUAUCGCAUUUAUGUGUCAAAGAUUGGCAUGGGUGAAAAUGUUACUGAAAAUAUUAAAUCAGUUUUAUUGAUUAACUCCCUUUUUGGCUUGUGCAGUAUAAAGUCAUGUGCAUCAUUGAAAGUAUAUGUAGUACUUUUCUAACCAACUGAUAAACAUUCUAUUUUUGGAAAGUUUGUUGCAUAAAGUUAAAGGAGGUUUUUUUGUAUGAAAUUUAUAUGGUGUAGGCCUUUAAGCUGUUUACUUUAAAAACCACCUUGUAUUUUUGAUAAUUU
Molecule: long non-coding RNA, 1870 nt
Organism: Mercenaria mercenaria
Lineage: Eukaryota; Metazoa; Mollusca; Bivalvia; Venerida; Veneridae
Exons: 3
Source: RefSeq, a predicted model, not a curated record